GCUCCUUUUCCUUCUCUGGCAAUGAUGGUUGCAAAGAUUAGUCAACAAGAUGGCUAAACUCAGUGGCUAAAAGUGUCAUGUAAGGCAGACCACCUGAGUUUGGUCCCUGGGAUCCAUAUAAAAGUGGGAGGAAGAGGCCACCUCCACAAGUUGUUCUGGCUGUCAUACACAGAGGCUGGGAGUGCCUGCACUCCUGUCUUAGUUACAGUUCCUACAGCUAUGAAGAAACACCAUGACCAAAAGCAACAUGAGGAAGAAAGGGUUUAUUCAGCUUAUGCUUCCACAUCACUGUCCAUUGUUGAAGGAAGUCAGAACAGGAACUCAGACAGGGCAGGAACCUGGAAGCAGGAGCUGAUGCAGAGGCCAUGGAGGGGUGCUGCUUACUGGCUUGCUCCUCAUGGUUUUCUCAGCCUGCUUUCUUAUAGAACCCAAGACCAUCAGCCCUGCCGUGGCUCCACUCAGAAUCAGUUGGGCCUUCUGUAUCUAUCACUAAUUAAGAAAAUGCCUUGCGGGCUAGAGAGAUGGCUCAGUGGUUAAGAGGCACUGGCUGCUCUUCUAGAGGUCCUGAGUUCAAUUCCCAGCAACCACAUGGUGACUCACAACUAUCUGUAAUGAGAUCCAAUGCCCUCUUCUGGUGUGUCUGAAGACAGUGACAGUGUACUCAUAUACAUAAAAUAAAUCUUUAAAAAAA
This 691-nucleotide long non-coding RNA is filed under the name Rattus norvegicus (Norway rat). RNAcentral's name for it is "long non-coding RNA NONRATT000733". The record is from RNAcentral. Lineage: Eukaryota; Metazoa; Chordata; Mammalia; Rodentia; Muridae.